RNAcentral lists this ribosomal RNA (388 nucleotides) under Triticum aestivum (bread wheat). Its description in RNAcentral is "partial small subunit ribosomal RNA". The record is from RNAcentral. Lineage: Eukaryota; Viridiplantae; Streptophyta; Magnoliopsida; Poales; Poaceae.
AUGUGGAAUUCAUCUCAAGCUCUAGAAGAAAUCAAUUGGGAAGAGGAAAUUCAGUCUGAUCCUGGCAAAAGGAGAAGCAUAGAUGAGUAUCCUCCUAAUCUAAGGGAUGUGGUAAGAAGAAAAUAUUUGGCUAAGCCUCUUUGUCAACCUCGUAGUUAUAAUUUUAAAACUACAACUAUUGGUGGUCGAGAGAGAAAGUUUAAUCCUGAUUGGUUUGAUGAGUUUGGGAGCUGGGCGCCGUGAUAAGAAAGAAGCUGGAUAUGCAGCAUUUGUUGCAAAGGGUUGGUCAGGCUGGAACAAAAAACAUAGACUAAAUGAUCAUGUCGGAGAUGUCAACAGUGUUCACAACCAAGCAAAAAGAGAUUGUGAUGCUUUAUUGCAACAAGAC